RNAcentral lists this long non-coding RNA (767 nucleotides) under Homo sapiens (human). RNAcentral describes it as "PYDC2 antisense RNA 1". The record is from RNAcentral. Lineage: Eukaryota; Metazoa; Chordata; Mammalia; Primates; Hominidae.
CUUCUCGUCUGUCGCCAUGUGAGAUGUACCUUUCACUUUCCUCCAUGAUUGUGAGGCCUCCUUAGCCACAUGGAACUUAUUUAAGUCAACAGAUGGAAGAGUGUCAUGGAAGGAAAUGCUGGAGUCCUUCAUCCGAAUGGUAAAUGGCACUUGUGACAAAAAUCAAAGUAACUAAAAAAGAAUCUGGUUGAAACCUCAGUAACAGUUGGCCUGUCUACUGCCUCACACUAACAAGUGACCCCCACCUUUACAAGUGUCUGUAAUUCUCACUAGCAGUAUAUUAGAGGGCAAAAGAUUUGAACAGACACAUCAGAAAAGAAGACAUACAAAUGGCCGCUAAGCACUUGAAAGGAUUCUGAACACCAUUAGUCAUCAGUGAAAUGCAAAUUAAAGCCAUAAUGAAUGGCGCUAUACAUUUUCAGAAUGGCAAGGAUUGAAGACCGAAAAAAAUCAAGCGUUGAGGAGAGUGACAAAUGGGGAGACAGCCGUGGUGCAUGAUCGCCGAAUAAAUACCAUGUGAGGAUACAGCAAGAAGGUGGCCAUCUACAAGCCAAGGAGACAGGCCUCAGAAGAAACCAACCCUUCUUACACCCUGGACUCAGACUUCUAAUCUCCAGAACUUGUUAAUGCACAAGGUCUUGUGUUGAAAAUGUAGAGCCACGAGAUAAAAGCAGCUUGGAUGGCUGACUCAUAUACAAGGACAACUGCCUGAGAGUCACCAGGGCUAUCAAGAAGUUUGCAGAAACAAGAAAUAAACUUUUACUGUU